GGUUCCAUAGAGUAGUGGUUAGCACGUCUGCUUUACAUGCAGAAGGUUCUGGGUUCCACCCCAGUGGAGCUC
Molecule: transfer RNA, 72 nt
Filed under: Pteropus alecto (black flying fox)
Lineage: Eukaryota; Metazoa; Chordata; Mammalia; Chiroptera; Pteropodidae
Rfam family: tRNA
About the family: Transfer RNA (tRNA) molecules are approximately 80 nucleotides in length. Their secondary structure includes four short double-helical elements and three loops (D, anti-codon, and T loops). Further hydrogen bonds mediate the characteristic L-shaped molecular structure. tRNAs have two regions of fundamental functional importance: the anti-codon, which is responsible for specific mRNA codon recognition, and the 3' end, to which the tRNAs corresponding amino acid is attached (by aminoacyl-tRNA synthetases). tRNAs cope with the degeneracy of the genetic code in two manners: having more than one tRNA (with a specific anti-codon) for a particular amino acid; and 'wobble' base-pairing, i.e. permitting non-standard base-pairing at the 3rd anti-codon position.
Source: Rfam by way of RNAcentral